This 363-nucleotide transfer-messenger RNA is filed under the name Salmonella enterica. It matches the Rfam family "transfer-messenger RNA". From Rfam's summary of the family: Bacterial tmRNA, also known as 10Sa RNA or SsrA, is named for its dual tRNA and mRNA-like properties. RNAcentral also lists the same sequence under 1 other name. Lineage: Bacteria; Pseudomonadati; Pseudomonadota; Gammaproteobacteria; Enterobacterales; Enterobacteriaceae. The record is from RNAcentral.
GGGGCUGAUUCUGGAUUCGACGGGAUUUGCGAAACCCAAGGUGCAUGCCGAGGGGCGGUUGGCCUCGUAAAAAGCCGCAAAAAAAUAGUCGCAAACGACGAAACCUACGCUUUAGCAGCUUAAUAACCUGCUUAGAGCCCUCUCUCCCUAGCCUCCGCUCUUAGGACGGGGAUCAAGAGAGGUCAAACCCAAAAGAGAUCGCGCGAAUGCCCUGCCUGGGGUUGAAGCGUUAAAACGAAUCAGGCUAGUCUGGUAGUGGCGUGUCCGUCCGCAGGUGCCAGGCGAAUGUAAAGACUGACUAAGCAUGUAGUACCGAGGAUGUAGGAAUUUCGGACGCGGGUUCAACUCCCGCCAGCUCCACCA